AUCUUAGUGGCGGACGGGUGAGUAACGCGUGAGCAACCUGCCUUUCAGAGGGGGAUAACGUCUUGAAAAGGACGCUAAUACCGCAUGAUAUUAUGGAGCCACAUGGCUCUAUAAUCAAAGGAGCAAUCCGCUGAAAGAUGGGCUCGCGUCCGAUUAGGUAGUUGGCGGGAUAACAGCCCACCAAGCCGACGAUCGGUAGCCGGACUGAGAGGUUGAACGGCCACAUUGGGACUGAGACACGGCCCAGACUCCUACGGGAGGCAGCAGUGAGGGAUAUUGGUCAAUGGGGGAAACCCUGAACCAGCAACGCCGCGUGAGGGAUGACGGCCUUCGGGUUGUAAACCUCUGUCCUCUGUGAAGAUAAUGACGGUAGCAGAGGAGGAAGCUCCGGCUAACUACGUGCCAGCAGCCGCGGUAAUACGUAGGGAGCAAGCGUUGUCCGGAUUUACUGGGUGUAAAGGGUGCGUAGGCGGUUUGGUAAGUCAGAAGUGAAAUCCAUGGGCUUAACCCAUGAACUGCUUUUGAAACUAUCGAACUUGAGUGAAGUAGAGGUAGGCGGAAUUCCCGGUGUAGCGGUGAAAUGCGUAGAGAUCGGGAGGAACACCAGUGGCGAAGGCGGCCUACUGGGCUUUAACUGACGCUGAGGCACGAAAGCAUGGGUAGCAAACAGGAUUAGAUACCCUGGUAGUCCAUGCCGUAAACGAUGAUUACUAGGUGUGGGGGGUCUGACCCCCUCCGUGCCGGAGUUAACACAAUAAGUAAUCCACCUGGGGAGUACGACCGCAAGGUUGAAACUCAAAGGAAUUGACGGGGGCCCGCACAAGCAGUGGAGUAUGUGGAUUAAUUCGAAGCAACGCGAAGAACCUUACCAGGUCUUGACAUCCAGCUAACGAAGUAGAGAUACAUUAGGUGCCCUUCGGGGAAAGCUGAGACAGGUGGUGCAUGGUUGUCGUCAGCUCGUGUCGUGAGAUGUUGGGUUAAGUCCCGCAACGAGCGCAACCCUUACUGUUAGUUGCUACGCAAGAGCACUCUAGCAGGACCGCCGUUGACAAAACGGAGGAAGGUGGGGAUGAUGUCAAAUCAUCAUGCCCCUUAUGACCUGGGCCUCACACGUACUACAAUGGCCGUAAACAGAGGGAAGCAAUACCGCGAGGUGGAGCAAAACCCUAAAAACGGUCCAAGGUCGGAUUGCAGGCUGCAACCCGCCUGCAUGAAGUUGAAUUGCUAGUAAUCGCG
This 1236-nucleotide ribosomal RNA is filed under the name uncultured bacterium. RNAcentral describes it as "bacterial SSU rRNA". It matches the Rfam family "Bacterial small subunit ribosomal RNA", at positions 89 to 1346 of the family's 1533-position model. The record is from RNAcentral.